Molecule: long non-coding RNA, 2439 nt
Filed under: Podarcis lilfordi (Lilford's wall lizard)
Lineage: Eukaryota; Metazoa; Chordata; Lepidosauria; Squamata; Lacertidae
Source: RNAcentral
GUAAUGGCUACUCCUCCGGAACCCCAUCUAGGCUCUCCUCUGAUGGUGAAUAACGGCCUAAGCCUUUGAAUGAGACUUCAGGCACACUCUCCAUUGCGCAGAAUACUCAGACAGCAGCAGAAGGAGCCAGAAAUGUGUACUACAUUGCUACUUUAUUUCUAACUACGCAAGACAGAAAAGAAUAUGCAUCUGUUCUCUGUGAGAGACAGAAAACAACAGGAACAAAGAAACAGGAAACCAGUAACUUCAACAUCCGUCUCCCGUCUCCCGUGAGACUUCCAACAAUCUGGAAUGUCAAUAGAGUCUUGUGACUCCAAGAACUGCACAGUGGCAUAACAGAAACCUAACAGUUUUGACUGUUUUGAUCAGUGACUAUGAUGACGGAGUGGAUCUAUAGGUGCUUCUGGGGGUAUGAAACCAUAUUUCCAAUCCAGUGAAUCUUCACUGCAUCAUCAGGUUAAUGUACUGUACAGAACUUCUUGAACAGCAAGGAAGAACCAGAAAACUGGUGCUGCUUGAUAGGUACAUCAGUUAUCAGUAAGAUCUGAGCCACAUUGAAACCAUUUUUCCAACUGGGUGAACCGCGAAGGCAUUGCCAGAUUAAUGUACUCUGCCACAGUUUCCUCUCAGUUGCGUACCAUGGUCUCUUGAGCAGUGAUACAGGAAGGCAAUUUAUAAUUUAAUGCAUAAUGCCUAGGGAGAUUUUUUAAUAUCCAGAGGAGUAUAAGACACACCAAAACACAUUGCCUCUUCAUUUCCUUUCAGGUUGGGAUACAAGGAGCAUCCACCUUGACCUUCUGGGAGCUAUGAAGACCAUAUACUUUUUCUAUAUUGUGUUUGCUCUGCUACUCAUUCCCAAUCUAGGUAAGCAAUUAUUUGAGUCCUAAAUGGGAUUGGAAUGAGUAAUACCACUGUGUGGAGCCAAUGCUUAUCCUCUUCCUCUUUUUUCCCCGUUCCCCCGUUCUACAUUUCCAAUUCCCAUAUACAGUAUCUACUUGCACUUGUGCGCUUGUGAACUGGUGGGUUGACAGGACCUGGGACAUAUCAGUGGGAACUCAUCCCACUGUGGGGAUUCGAACUGCUGAGCUUACAGUCAGCAAGUCCAAGAAGCUCAGUGGUUUAGACCACAUCACCACCCACAUCUUUUCCAACUAAACACCAGGCUCGCUGAAAAGGCAUUGCCAUGGAAGAAAGGUGAACAGCUAAAUGCUCUUUUCACACUGCGUCUGAUUGGACUUACUUGGUGCGAAAAAAGCUUUAAAUUCUCAAUCUUUCUUCUUGGGCAAAGGCCAAUCAUCAUGCAGGUCAAGGACUGGUAGUGAUGCCCUUACAUGGUGUCACAGGAUCAACUGACUUCCUGUGACAUCUCACGACAGCAUCCUCACCUAGUCCCUUACAAUUGAAAUCACGCAGGUUAAAUGCACAUGUCAUGCAAUUUUGAACCAUGGCAGAGGCCUGAGUACACUGGGUACCAGUGGCAGGUUUGUGUGGGGAUUGUGGGUUAAAGUUUAAAGUUGGGUUAAAGCUUCAAGUUGGGUAUACGUACAGCAAGAAGGGGGACACGGGUGGCGCUGUGGGUAAAACCUCAGUGCCUAGGGCUUGCCGAUCACAUGGUCGGCGGUUCAAAUCCCCACGGCGGAGUGAGCUCCCGUCUUUCGGUCCCAGCUCCUGCCCACCUAGCAGUUCGAAAGCACCCCUAAGUGCAAGUAGAUAAAUAGGGACCGCUUUAUAGCGGGAAGGUAAACGGCGUUUCCGUGUGCUGCGCUGGUGCUGGCUUGCCAGAGCAGCUUCGUCAUGCUAGCCACGUGACCCGGAAGUGUCUCUGGACAGUGCUGGCCCCCGGCCUCUUAAGUGAGAUGGGCUCACAACCCUAGAGUCGGACACGACUGGCCCGUACGGGCAGGGGUACCUUUACCUUUACCUUUUUACAGCAAGAAGGGAGGUGGAAGGAGACUGCCAUAUUCCUUUUCUGAUGUGUUCUUCUGUGUUGCAUCCAUCUCUGCUAUUUCUUCUUGUUAAAAUAGGUGUUUGCCUGCUUGCUUGCUUGCUUGCUUGCUUGCUUGUUUUUUUUAAAAAAAACAUGCACCUGAGUUUCUCUGCAUUCUCUUAAAUAUUUUUUGCUGAUAUUAUUAUUUAUUAGAUUUUAUCAUACCCACCAUUCUACUUGAAUUCUCUUGUAAGUGGAUAGGUAGCUAAAGGUCAUUUGCUGCUCUUUUACUACAGGAUUCACUGCUGUUUCAGAUGAAGAAUCAUGCAUGUAUGGCGAUCUGGCAGGGUACUGUGUGUUGAAGGAAUGCCCUCGUGGCUUUACAGUCAUUGGAAAUUGUGGAGAAAAGCAUCGUUGCUGUUUUUACCGUAAGAAUAAAGACCCUAUAACCGGAUCUGAUUUCUGGCCCAGUUUGUAAUUUAGAUUGUGCCAGAUUUUGGACCAACCCAGCC